UUUGCUUUCACCCUUAUUGUGGUCAGUAAUGGGUGAUUGGUACUUCUGAUGUUCCUCCCCUAAUCAUGUUUAGAAAAUAUAUGACAAAGGUUCCAAAUCAUUCAUCCUUCAGAGUGCUAUUAUUCGCAAUUGCUUCCAGUACGUAUUUAAUAAUUACUUCCACUCAGUAGCCACUCCUGCCAGCACCGCCGAAGCCACCCUGCUGGGAAGCUCCCACUGAUUAGGACAUCAGUAUGGCUUCAAGUGGAUCAAAGUUAUAUUGGACUCACUGCCGCCACCGAGGCCACCAGUGUUGCCCCCAGAGCCGAAGGCGUCGUUGUUACCUCCGCCGAAGCCGCCGGGGUUACCUCCAGAGCCACAGGAAAACGGGUUUAAUGAAUACAUACGACCGCCGCCGAAGCCACCAACGUUGCCGCCAGAGCCGUAAAGAUCGUUACCGCCGCUUCCACUAUAUGGUUAGUGAGCUCUAGUUGGGUGAUAACCUACCCAAAGCCGGAGUUACCCCCAGCGCCGUAAGCGUUGUUACCGCCACUGCCAGAUAAUCAAUCAGUACGUCACAUCACUGACUUCAACCGACUUACCCGAAGCCACCCCCGCUCUGGUUACCACCGAAGCCACCAGGUUGGCCACCGGAGACACCACCGGAACCGUAAGUAUCACCGCCGGAAGAGCCAUACGAGUCGUUGCCGGAAGAACCGAAACCGCUGCUACCGAGAGGCUGGCCACCGGAGCCGUAAGCGCCACCACCUUGGCCAGAGGACCCGUAUGAGUCGUUACCAGUGGAUCCGAAGCCACCAGACUGGCCACCAGAGCCGUAAGUAUCGCCAGCUCUGCCGGAGGAACCGAAAGAGUUAUCGCCCUGGCCACCGUCUUGACCGUAGGCUUGGCCGCUAGAGCCAUAGGAGUCGUUACCGCUUUGGUCGUAGUUGCUAGAGUCCUACCGCGGCAUGAGUUACUACCAAGAUAUGGCGACCGGAUGAAUGGAGUAUACGUACUUUGCCAGAAGAGUGGCCGUGGUGGCCAGUAACCUUGUCAGUGACCUUGUCCAAGAGCUAACAGACAUCAUGAGCCAUCGCUACAGAGGUUAAACAAACUGACUCACACCCAUAUUGAUAAUUCCUUUGUUGGUAGUUGUUGUGGGAGUAAUUAGCAGUAGCAGUAGUAUUGACUAGAGUUCGUGAAGGAUGAGAAGGCAAGUAGGGGGCCGGCAGGCUAUAUAUAUCUCUGAAGAGAGAUCCUUGCUCUCGUGUUUGGGACAAUUUACUUGACUGCGGCUAUUCAAGCAGUGAAUAG
RNAcentral lists this small RNA (1293 nucleotides) under Cryptococcus neoformans H99. RNAcentral's name for it is "Cryptococcus neoformans var. grubii H99 hypothetical RNA". Lineage: Eukaryota; Fungi; Basidiomycota; Tremellomycetes; Tremellales; Cryptococcaceae. The record is from RNAcentral.